RNAcentral lists this ribosomal RNA (579 nucleotides) under Triticum aestivum (bread wheat). RNAcentral's name for it is "partial small subunit ribosomal RNA". Lineage: Eukaryota; Viridiplantae; Streptophyta; Magnoliopsida; Poales; Poaceae. The record is from RNAcentral.
AUGUGUUUCAUAAAGUGGUACUUGGAAGAUCUAAAGAUCACAGCUGUUAGAACGCCAAGUCGACAGUUGGGGCGAGUGGAGCGGCCCCGUGCUAGGGCUUGGCUACCACCGUCGGGUGAGGCUGCAAAGCUGAACUGUGAUGGUGUUGUUUCCACCUUGGGAGAGAGAGGAGUUGCUGCAGUGGUUUGUAGAAACAAGACGGGAAACUAUCUGGGAGCCUCGGCAGUGGUGUAUGAAGGCUUAAUCAAUCCAGCUAGCCUGGAGGCGCUAGCUUGCAGCGAGGCUCUAGCCCUCGCUCGGGACCUAAAUUUGCAGGAAUUGGAGAUAGCUUCAGACUGUCAGGAAGUGAUCUCAAACAUCAAGAAUGGAGGGUCGCCGGCUUAUGCUCCUAUUCUUAGGGAGAUUCAAGUUACUAGAAACCUUUUUCCUGCUGUUAUUUUCCGUUUCGAGUAUAGGGAGCAUAAUUUCGAGGCCCACGCGCUAGCUAAAGGAGCUGCGUGUCUUGCGGUGGGUCGUCAUGUGUGGCUAGGGGUUUUGCCCGACAUUGCUUGUAUUCCUCAGACUUUGAACUUUGAAUAA